CAUUGGUCUUACAGCUCGGCCAUAUCUACCAACAACACUCUGGAUUUUUAUCAUUCACAUAUCAUUAACAUUGUCAAAAAAAAAAUAUUUCAUGAAAUAAUAACAAAAAUAAUACAAAAAAAAGAGAAGAAGAUUAGGGUUAAAAAAAGGGUGACGCUUCGACUUCGACUAUUCUUCUUCUCCUAUCGCCGCUGCAAAAUUUCUACUCUUUUUUUCCGAUUCAAAUCAUCGGCAAGAGCGGCCAUCUCUGUUUUUUCAAUCUCUUCCACUCAAUCUCCUCCAUUAAGCAACGAAAACACUACCGUGGCGCUCUCAAUUUUGCUAUUCUUUCUCAACAUCGCGCUACACAGCUUUUUCAUUUCAAUGUUUCACCAUCAUCGCUCCCUCAUCGAAUCUCUGCCUUGUGCUCUCAAUUUCUCACCUCUCAGUUUAAACUCGAGAUUUCAACAGAUGCACGAAAUUGACAAAAUCAAGAGCAAUAGGAAUUACCUACCGAAAUAA
Vicia faba (fava bean) is the source of this 501-nucleotide non-coding RNA. Lineage: Eukaryota; Viridiplantae; Streptophyta; Magnoliopsida; Fabales; Fabaceae. The record is from the annotation of a GenBank genome assembly.